GAUGAACGCUGGCGGCGUGCCUAAUACAUGCAAGUCGAGCGAACAGACGAGGAGCUUGCUCCUCUGACGUUAGCGGCGGACGGGUGAGUAACACGUGGAUAACCUACCUAUAAGACUGGGAUAACUUCGGGAAACCGGAGCUAAUACCGGAUAAUAUAUUGAACCGCAUGGUUCAAUAGUGAAAGACGGUUUUGCUGUCACUUAUAGAUGGAUCCGCGCCGCAUUAGCUAGUUGGUAAGGUAACGGCUUACCAAGGCAACGAUGCGUAGCCGACCUGAGAGGGUGAUCGGCCACACUGGAACUGAGACACGGUCCAGACUCCUACGGGAGGCAGCAGUAGGGAAUCUUCCGCAAUGGGCGAAAGCAUGACGGAGCAACGCCGCGUGAGUGAUGAAGGUCUUCGGAUCGUAAAGCUCUGUUAUUAGGGAAGAACAAAUGUGUAAGUAACUAUGCACGUCUUGACGGUACCUAAUCAGAAAGCCACGGCUAACUACGUG
RNAcentral lists this ribosomal RNA (497 nucleotides) under uncultured bacterium. RNAcentral describes it as "partial 16S ribosomal RNA". It matches the Rfam family "Bacterial small subunit ribosomal RNA", at positions 28 to 507 of the family's 1533-position model. The record is from RNAcentral.